UCCCUCUAUCCUCGAUCGACCAAGCCCUAAUAGAGCUAGCCGACCCUUGUCCCGUCCUUCACCUUCCUCUCCGGCGCCGAGCGACCUCCUCCCUCCUCCCUCCUUUUCCUCCCCCCAAAAGCUCGGGUCCGAGUCUUGGCCAUGGCCGGCGAUCGAAGAGUUUUUCCAGUUCGUUGCCUCUUCUUCUUCUGGAUCUCGUCUCUGCUCUCGAUCUCGCUCGCUUACAGGCCGGGAGACAUCGUGCCAAUGAGCAAGGCGGGCCAGUACCACGGGGUACUCACUGCCUCUCCGUGCCUUAUAUAUACUUGGGACGUCAGUCGUUCCUCCUCGCCUGAUCCUUCUCCCUCUCUGGCUCAAACUCUCGUGCGAUCUUUUGCUCCUCAAUCCUCUGAUUUUCGUCUGAGAAUCUUGAGAGUCCAAGAAAGGUUGCUGGGACGACAAUGCUGCCGCCGGGCUACUUGUUCAGACCGACCGACGAGAUUCUCCUCGUCGCCUACCUCAAGAACAAGCUACUUCGAUGGCCUCUUCCCUGCGACGUUAUCGUGGAGGGUGACGUCUAUGGAAGCCGCCCCCAGGACCUGGCCUUAGAAUAUCCCAUGGCAAACAAGGACUAUGAGUGGUUCUUCUUCACUUCUAACCCUCGGAAGCGUUCCGGCGCAAGCGAAACCAGCCGUGCAUCUCGGCGCGCAGGCCUGGGACGAUGGAAGGCCACGAAAGGCGUCAAGAAAGUGCUCGAUUCCAAGAAUAACACCAUUGGGUCGAAGCAGAGUUUCUGUUACAUGGAACAGAACUGGGACGGUGGCGAAGACAAAAGUAUCUGGUUGAUGGAGGAGUUCUCUAUGCAAAACCUUGAAGGGAGAGGCAGUGCUGGUUGAUGGAGGAGUUCUCUAUGCUUAAUCAUGUUUUUCUUUUCUGUAAUUAGAAGUUUUAAGAUUUGGGGAUUUAUAUCAGCGCUGUUUUCUUGAAGCUCCGAUCUGAAAUCUCAACUUUACCUUCCUUUUUGAGACUAAGCCUUACUGAGUCCACUAUUAACAUUAUCAUACAAUAUCCAUACGUCAUUUCCUGGUAUGAGGUCCUGCUAUUCAAUUUUUUAUAAUGGUUGCAUGUAGUGUUAGAACAAUAAAAGUUGGGCCUAUGGACCAGGCAUGUGGUGGGUUAUGCAGAUUGCUCAAGAUGUCAGCAAUUUUAAUAUGUGUCACUUCUUUGAAUUGUAGAAUGGAUUGAAGCUCUCCUAUGUUAGACACUCAGGCCAUCAAUGAAUUUGUUGGAGAUAAUAAUGACCAGAAAAACAUGUGGGAAAUAAUCAUGAGGGUGGAAGUUAUUACAUUAGGUUUCAUCUUUUAGUUUCUGUGCACAUGUUUUUUUUCCUAUGAAACAUGUAUUCUCAAUAUCAUGACCUGAAAAUGAUUAGUUUCCUAGCAUGGCAUGCUCUAGCAUUGUCGAUUACCACCCUAUUUUGCCACUUACUUCACAUGGUUGUAUAUUAAGUAUUAUUAACAUUUGUUGUUAAUCAAUAAAUAGAGUUUAUAUUUAUUCUGAUUUCUGAAUAUUUCUUCCUCAUGAUGCAGCAAGGAGGUAUAUAAAAAGUCUUGUGGUCAGAUUGUAUGUAAUAAUCUGCUUUUCUAGUGCUUUUGGAAAUCAGGAGCCAAGGAUUUCUUAUUAUUGAAUUUUCCCCCUUUAGGUGAUGACUGGGAGCAUGAAGAAAAUUUCACUGACGAUGAUGAGGCUGUGGGCAAUGAUCCAGAGGAACGGGAAGAUUUGGCUCCUGAAAUUCCUGCUCCACCAGAAAUUAAGCAGGUUGCUGAUACUUCUACUUGUAGAGAUGAUGAUGCCGUCGACCCUUGAUACAUCGUAGACUGUUUAUUUAGGAGUUUGAUAUGUAUGUUUUUAAUAUUUUUAAAGUACAAUGUAAUCAAAUAUGAUAAUAUGAUUAGUAAUUAAUAAAAAAAUUUUGUUUGUGAU
Phoenix dactylifera (date palm) is the source of this 1962-nucleotide non-coding RNA. The record is from RefSeq and is a predicted model, not a curated record. Lineage: Eukaryota; Viridiplantae; Streptophyta; Magnoliopsida; Arecales; Arecaceae.